This 622-nucleotide long non-coding RNA is filed under the name Phoenix dactylifera (date palm). RNAcentral describes it as "long non-coding RNA (PDAC_LNC007553)". The record is from RNAcentral. Lineage: Eukaryota; Viridiplantae; Streptophyta; Magnoliopsida; Arecales; Arecaceae.
UUCCCCACAGCGCAUCCAGCUUCCAUGCCAUCAACGUGAUCGAUGCAGCGUCCCAGAUUUCCUUCGAUCCCAGGCGCCCGUUCGAAUGCAGCCCAGCACUCCAUCCGCCCGUGAAGCAUCCCCAGCCUCCCGCGCCCGAUUGCAGCACCCUCUUCCGGAUUCCCAGCAUCAACCCGUCCGCAACGUCCCAGCUCUUCCGUGACCCAAGCACCGCGUCCGUGAUCGGCUCCUCCCGGCGAUCCCACGGCGUCCUCCCGUCGAUCCCGCGGCAUCAGCCUCCAUCCCGUGAUCCUAGCAACCCAUGAUCUCCGUCCGUUGCAGCCUCUACGUCCGGACAUCUCGCAUCCGCACUGGAUCUCUUCCACGGAUCAUCGCCUCCUCCCAUCUCCUCUUCUUCCGGCUACAGCAGCAGAUUACCAGAACCGAUCCAGCCACAAUCCGUGAUCCAUCCCAGCAUCAGCGCCCCUGCAUUGCGUCCCUUCCCAGAUCUUCCAUCCGUGAAGGAAGCCCCAGUGAUUCCGUGAUCCCAGCCUCCACCGCGUCCGCCCUCUCCUUCCUCCAAUAAUCCAGCCAUCUACGUGCUUGCUGGGGAUCUAUAUAAGGGAGCCAUCGGCGAGGGGGA